This 354-nucleotide unclassified non-coding RNA is filed under the name Borreliella afzelii. Its description in RNAcentral is "partial 16S-23S ribosomal RNA intergenic spacer". Lineage: Bacteria; Pseudomonadati; Spirochaetota; Spirochaetia; Spirochaetales; Borreliaceae. The record is from RNAcentral.
AAAAGCUUUUGAAGUNAAAGUAAAUUUUUANUUUAACCUUUAGAAAAAAUAAAUCUUUAGAAAGUGUUUAGUAUUAUACAGUUUCAUAUUAAAUUAAACGUUGUUAAUAGUAAACAUAAUUUUAGAUUUUGAGUUGAAAGUUUUUUAUAUUGMUAAAUAUKUAUUUUAAAUCUAAUAGAACGGCAAUUKCAAUUUUUAAAAUUGAAAUUGCAUUGUAAAUAUACCCUAACAUCGAAAUUGACAAAUGUUUUWUUUUUAUUGUUCAUCAUAGUUAAAGUAGACUAUAGUACAUANUACUUGGAAAAAUGGAAUACAUUGGGACCAGGAUGAGUUGAACAUCCGACCUCAGGUUUA